RNAcentral lists this ribosomal RNA (271 nucleotides) under uncultured bacterium. Its description in RNAcentral is "partial 16S ribosomal RNA". It matches the Rfam family "Bacterial small subunit ribosomal RNA", at positions 796 to 1041 of the family's 1533-position model. The record is from RNAcentral.
CACGCCGUAAACUUUGGACGCUAGGUGUUCGGUACAACUACUUAACCCUUCGGGGUUAAAUGGAAGUAUUGAGUACUGCAGCUAACGCGUUAAGCGUCCCGCCUGGGAACUACGGCCGCAAGGCUAAAACUCAAAUGAAUUGGCGGGGACUCGCACAAGCAGAGGAGCGCGUGGUUUAAUUCGACGGCAAUCGAAGAACCUUACCAGGGUUUGAAAUGUAUCUGCAUGCCUUAUGAAAGUUUGGCAGCCUUCGAGGGUGAUACACAGGUGC